Molecule: ribosomal RNA, 253 nt
Filed under: uncultured bacterium
Lineage: Bacteria
Description: partial 16S ribosomal RNA
Rfam family: Bacterial small subunit ribosomal RNA
Source: RNAcentral
UACGUAGGGUGCGAGCGUUAAUCGGAAUUACUGGGCGUAAAGCGUGCGCAGGCGGUCUGUUAAGACAGAUGUGAAAUCCCCGGGCUUAACCUGGGAACUGCAUUUGUGACUGGCAGGCUAGAGUAUGGCAGAGGGGGGUAGAAUUCCACGUGUAGCAGUGAAAUGCGUAGAGAUGUGGAGGAAUACCGAUGGCGAAGGCAGCCCCCUGGGCCAAUACUGACGCUCAUGCACGAAGGCGUGGGGAGCAAACAGG